AAUUGGUCUCAAAGCACAGAGCUCAAGUAAUUUAUACCAGAAACACCAAGGGUGGAGAUGCCCCAGCUGCUGGUGAAGAUGCAUGAAAUGAAAAGGUCCCACCAACUACACUUCGAAAAAUAAAACUUUAUUAAAUCAA
Manis javanica (Malayan pangolin) is the source of this 139-nucleotide non-coding RNA. NCBI's taxonomy places the organism in Eukaryota, Metazoa, Chordata, Mammalia, Pholidota, Manidae. The record is from RefSeq and is a predicted model, not a curated record.